GCUGUAGCUCAGUGAUAGCACUUCUGCCUUGCAUGCAAAAGGUCCCGGGUUCAAUCCCCUGUAGGUCCC
Molecule: non-coding RNA, 69 nt
Organism: Podarcis lilfordi (Lilford's wall lizard)
Lineage: Eukaryota; Metazoa; Chordata; Lepidosauria; Squamata; Lacertidae
Source: the annotation of a GenBank genome assembly